RNAcentral lists this ribosomal RNA (253 nucleotides) under uncultured bacterium. RNAcentral describes it as "partial 16S ribosomal RNA". It matches the Rfam family "Bacterial small subunit ribosomal RNA", at positions 524 to 776 of the family's 1533-position model. The record is from RNAcentral.
UACGGAAGGGGCAAGCGUUGUUCGGAAUCAUUGGGCGUAAAGGGCGCGUAGGUGGUUCUGUAUGUCUACCGUGAAAGCAUACAGCUCAACUGUAUUUUGUCGGUAGAAACUGCAGGACUUGAGGCUGGGAGGGGCUGGUGGAAUUCCCUGUGUAGCGGUGAAAUGCGUAGAGAUGGGGGAGAACACUCGUGGCGAAGGCGGCCAGCUAGACCAGAUCCGACACUGAGGCGCGAAAGCGUGGGGAGCAAACAGG